UGUGCCUAAUACAUGCAAGUCGAACGCGUUGGCCCAACUGAUUGAACGUGCUUGCACGGACUUGACGUUGGUUUACCAGCGAGUGGCGGACGGGUGAGUAACACGUAAGUAACCUGCCCCAAAGCGGGGGAUAACAUUUGGAAACAGAUGCUAAUACCGCAUAGACAAUUUAGAAUCGCAUGAUUCAAAUUUAAAAGAUGGCUUCGGCUAUCACUUUGGGAUGGACCUGCGGCGCAUUAGCUUGUUGGUAGGGUAACGGCCUACCAAGGCUGUGAUGCGUAGCCGAGUUGAGAGACUGAUCGGCCACAAUGGAACUGAGACACGGUCCAUACUCCUACGGGAGGCAGCAGUAGGGAAUCUUCCACAAUGGGCGCAAGCCUGAUGGAGCAACACCGCGUGAGUGAAGAAGGGUUUCGGCUCGUAUAAGCUCUGUUGUUAGAGAAGAACGUGCGUGAGAGCAACUAGUUCACGCAGUGACGGUAUCUAACCAGAGAGGCACGGCUAACUACGUGCCAGCAGCCGCGGUAGACGUAGGUGGCAAGCGUCAUCCGGAUCUAUUGGGCGUACAGCGAGCGCAGGCGGAUCUGAUACGUCUGAUGUGACAG
RNAcentral lists this ribosomal RNA (605 nucleotides) under Limosilactobacillus mucosae. RNAcentral describes it as "bacterial SSU rRNA". It matches the Rfam family "Bacterial small subunit ribosomal RNA", at positions 43 to 600 of the family's 1533-position model. The record is from RNAcentral. Lineage: Bacteria; Bacillati; Bacillota; Bacilli; Lactobacillales; Lactobacillaceae.